GGUCUCCCGUACGUGACCUGCGGAGGGACAUUACACAAAUAUGAAGGCGGGCUGGAACCUCUCGGGGUUACAGCCUUGCUGAAUUAUUCACCCUUGUCUUUUGCGUACUUCUUGUUUCCUUGGUGGGUUCGCCCACCACUAGGACAAACAUAAACCUUUUGUAAUUGCAAUCAGCGUCAGUAACAAAUUAAUAAUUACAACUUUCAACAACGGAUCUCUUGGUUCUGGCAUCGAUGAAGAACGCAGCGAAAUGCGAUAAGUAGUGUGAAUUGCAGAAUUCAGUGAAUCAUCGAAUCUUUGAACGCACAUUGCGCCCUUUGGUAUUCCAAAGGGCAUGCCUGUUCGAGCGUCAUUUGUACCCUCAAGCUUUGCUUGGUGUUGGGCGUCUUGUCUCUAGCUUUGCUGGAGACUCGCCUUAAAGUAAUUGGCAGCCGGCCUACUGGUUUCGGAGCGCAGCACAAGUCGCACUCUCUAUCAGCAAAGGUCUAGCAUCCAUUAAGCCUUUUUUUCAACUUUUGACCUCGGAUCAGGUAGGGAUACCCGCUGAACUUAA
Molecule: ribosomal RNA, 553 nt
Filed under: Alternaria alternata
Lineage: Eukaryota; Fungi; Ascomycota; Dothideomycetes; Pleosporales; Pleosporaceae
Description: eukaryotic LSU rRNA
Rfam family: 5.8S ribosomal RNA (bases 199-352)
Source: RNAcentral